Molecule: long non-coding RNA, 113 nt
Filed under: Felis catus (domestic cat)
Lineage: Eukaryota; Metazoa; Chordata; Mammalia; Carnivora; Felidae
Description: lncRNA (ENSFCAG00000040926.2)
Source: RNAcentral
AACAGAAACCCAGCCAGCGCCAGCCGCUCCGACAGUACUUGGUGGCCGGAGAGUCGGCAGCAGGAAGCAUGAGGCAGGAAAUGACCCAAUCCUUGAGGUCUGCUUAUAGAUAA